Molecule: ribosomal RNA, 495 nt
Filed under: uncultured bacterium
Lineage: Bacteria
Description: partial 16S ribosomal RNA
Rfam family: Bacterial small subunit ribosomal RNA
Source: RNAcentral
GACGAACGCUGGCGGCGUGCCUAAUACAUGCAAGUAGAACGCUGAAGGAGGAGCUUGCUUCUCCGGAUGAGUUGCGAACGGGUGAGUAACGCGUAGGUAACCUGCCUGGUAGCGGGGGAUAACUAUUGGAAACGAUAGCUAAUACCGCAUAACAGUAGAUAUCGCAUGAUAUCUGCUUGAAAGGUGCAAUUGCAUCACUACCAGAUGGACCUGCGUUGUAUUAGCUAGUUGGUGAGGUAACGGCUCACCAAGGCGACGAUACAUAGCCGACCUGAGAGGGUGAUCGGCCACACUGGGACUGAGACACGGCCCAGACUCCUACGGGAGGCAGCAGUGGGGAAUCUUCGGCAAUGGACGGAAGUCUGACCGAGCAACGCCGCGUGAGUGAAGAAGGUUUUCGGAUCGUAAAGCUCUGUUGUAAGAGAAGAACGAGUGUGAGAGUGGAAAGUUCACACUGUGACGGUAUCUUACCAGAAAGGGACGGCUAACUACGUG